RNA transcript from Prionailurus viverrinus (fishing cat), 2688 nucleotides. It is a transcript of the gene named fucosyltransferase 10, with no coding region annotated. The transcript is spliced from 7 exons. The record is from RefSeq and is a predicted model, not a curated record. NCBI's taxonomy places the organism in Eukaryota, Metazoa, Chordata, Mammalia, Carnivora, Felidae.
AAGUGUCCCGCGACUUACUAAAGAGAAUCUCAGGAGUCUUCCAGGAACUUUUUGGGAAUGAGGUGGCUCACGAGCGAGGGAGAAGCAGAAACUCCCAGGAACCUCUGUGGACUGGCCUUUAAGCCCGGCAACGGCGAAAACCUGGAUGGAGGAUCGCUGGGCCUGCGAGCGCGGAAAGUGAUGCCGCUUUUCCCAAACCUCCUUUCCGAGUCUUCGCCCGAGCCCCGGCUGAGCGCAAACUGAAAGUGGAAAGCGGCCGGGCUGCCUGCCGCCAGCGAGCCUCCUACCCGGGACGAGACUUUUUGGAUGCCUUCUGGUUUGAAGAAAUCUCCAGCUGCUCUGAUGAUAGUUUAAGAAGACUGCAUGCUGUUUCCUCUCGAUGCCAAGCCAGGCCCUCUCGGAACCUCGGAUCCCAGCCCUUCAUGGAGACCAGGUCCCAGCAGGAAUGGCAGUGGAAGACAUCCGCACCCAGAUGGCUCCUUCACGUGAAGUUGUCUUGGGCUGUGGGCCGACUCGAGAACACCUGGUAGCCAGGCCGGCCCUCUGUCAGUCACCCAGGGCCGGGCAGCAUGGUGUGGAUUCAGAGGAGGAAGCUUUUGGCAUCUUGCCUCUGCAUCACAGCCUCUGUCUUUCUGCUUGUCACACUCCAGGUAGUGGUUGAGCUGGGGAAACUUGAAAGGAAGAAGUUUAAAAAUUCUAACGGGCAAGAUGGACAUGCAACGAUGGAGGAGGAGCCUACACACCUCUAUCCACUCCCUGGGAAAGAAGCCCUGAACUGGAAAAACAAAUCAGAGACUGAUAACUACCCCAUCAUGCUCUGGUGGUCCCCACUGACUGGGGAAACUGGAAGGCUAGGCCAGUGCGGAGCGGAUGCGUGUUUCUUUACCAUCAACCGGACCUACCUACAUCAUCACAUGACCAAAGCAUUCCUCUUCUAUGGCACUGACUUUAACAUAGAUAGCUUACCUCUGCCUCGGAAGGCCCAUCACGACUGGGCCCUUUUUCACGAAGAGUCUCCGAAAAAUAAUUACAAGCUCUUUCACAAGCCAGUCAUCACCUUGUUCAACUACACUGCCACCUUCAGCCGACAUUCCCACUUGCCACUGACCACCCAGUACUUGGAGGGCGUAGAAGUCCUGAAGUCACUCAGAUACCUGGUCCCUUUGCGGUCCAAGAACAUCCUUCGAAGAAGACUUGCUCCACUGGUGUAUGUCCAGUCAGACUGUGACCCACCAUCAGACAGGGACAGCUAUGUUCGAGAACUGAUGACUCACGUUGAGGUGGAUUCCUACGGUGAGUGUUUACGAAACAAGGAUCUCCCUCCGCAGCUAAAAAAUCCAGCUUCCAUGGAUGCUGAUGGCUUUUAUAGGAUCAUUGCACAGUAUAAGUUUAUCCUUGCCUUCGAGAAUGCGGUGUGUGACGACUACAUCACUGAGAAGUUCUGGAGACCUCUGAAACUGGGGGUGGUCCCUGUGUAUUAUGGGUCCCCCAGCAUUGCUGACUGGCUCCCAAGUAAUAGAAGUGCUAUUCUCGUGUCUGAAUUUGCUCACCCUAGAGAACUGGCAAGUUACAUCAGACAACUGGAUCACGACGACAGACUGUACGAGGCCUACAUAGAAUGGAAGCUGAAGGGUGAGGUCUCAAAUCAGCGACUUCUCACAGCACUCAAGGAACGGAAGUGGGGAGUACAAGAUGUCCACCAGGACAACUACAUCGAUGCAUUUGAGUGCAUGGUGUGCAGCAAGGUGUGGGAUAAUAUCCGGCUUCAGGAGAAGGGCUUACCACCCAAAAGAUGGAAGGCAGAAGUUACCCACCUGAGCUGCCCGGAGCCCACAGUGUUUGCUUUCUCACCUCUGGCUCCACGUUGGAGCUCUUUGAGGGAGAUGUGGAUACCAAGCUUUGAACAGUCCAAGAAAGAAGCCCAGGCACUAAGGUGGCUUGUUGAUAGGAAUAAAAAUUUUUCAGCUCAAGAGUUUUGGGCCCUCGUGUUCAAGGACUAAUUUCUACCAGUAUCACAGCGAUAUAGACUAGGGGGUUCUCUUGAGCUUUAUUUUCUAGGUUGCCUUAACACUCGAAUACAGUCGCUACUUUGUUGACUGUCCUUCAGGAUAAGGAUUAAUUGCUGUAGUUCUCAUAAUGAGCCCUCUCAGCUAAUGGAUAUGAAUUACCCUUAGGGGUCACCUCUGUAUUUUUUAUACUAAAAAAAUGAAUAUGUCGUAUGGACACUGGUCACCUUCAGUUUCCACGUCUGGACGGAUGUACCUGCUGCCUUUUGUGGACGUCCAGCUAAUGCGGAGUGAGUGCUUUCCUCGCCGCAAGCGAGGCGGAGGGUGGAGCUGUGGAUUCUUGACACUCACCUCACUGUCUGCGGUUUAUUAGUAUUUGGCAAGCCCGGUGUCCUGAUGCUAAGCAUGAACAUGAAAUGCAUUAGAACUUGGCAAUGAGAGAUUCCAUCUGUUGGUUUCCAGGGAUAGGAGACAUUUCUUCUGUCAACCUUGGGUGAUUUCUGGCAAGAAUAAGAACUCUGACUUGGGGAUUAGCAAUGAAGACGGUGGGCCCACUGGGCAAGCAGGUCCACUCUGCCGAAACUGCAUCUGUUCACCAUGCUUUUGGCUCCAUCUGUUCGAUAUUCACCAAUGAAGUCAACUUUUCAUCUCUUUUUUCAUUAUAUGUGGAAGUGUACUUAGG